Molecule: unclassified non-coding RNA, 601 nt
Filed under: Alternaria hordeicola
Lineage: Eukaryota; Fungi; Ascomycota; Dothideomycetes; Pleosporales; Pleosporaceae
Description: sequence contains 18S rRNA gene, ITS1, 5.8S rRNA gene, ITS2, 28S rRNA gene
Rfam family: 5.8S ribosomal RNA (bases 240-393)
Source: RNAcentral
AGUCGUAACAAGGUCUCCGUAGGUGAACCUGCGGAGGGAUCAUUACACAAUAACCAGGCGGGCUGGACACCCCCCGCUGGGCACUGCUUCACGGCGUGCGCGGCGGGGCCGGCCCUGCUGAAUUAUUCACCCGUGUCUUUUGCGUACUUCUUGUUUCCUGGGUGGGCUCGCCCGCCCUCAGGACCAACCACAAACCUUUUGCAAUAGCAAUCAGCGUCAGUAACAACGUAAUUAAUUACAACUUUCAACAACGGAUCUCUUGGUUCUGGCAUCGAUGAAGAACGCAGCGAAAUGCGAUACGUAGUGUGAAUUGCAGAAUUCAGUGAAUCAUCGAAUCUUUGAACGCACAUUGCGCCCUUUGGUAUUCCAAAGGGCAUGCCUGUUCGAGCGUCAUUUGUACCCUCAAGCUUUGCUUGGUGUUGGGCGUCUUUUGUCUCCAGUUCGCUGGAGACUCGCCUUAAAGUCAUUGGCAGCCGGCCUACUGGUUUCGGAGCGCAGCACAAGUCGCGCUCUUUGCCAGCCAAGGUCAGCGUCCAGCAAGCCUUUUUUUCAACCUUUGACCUCGGAUCAGGUAGGGAUACCCGCUGAACUUAAGCAUAUC